Molecule: ribosomal RNA, 468 nt
Filed under: uncultured bacterium
Lineage: Bacteria
Description: partial 16S ribosomal RNA
Rfam family: Bacterial small subunit ribosomal RNA
Source: RNAcentral
GAGGAAAGAGGGGGGAGGGAGGAACACAGGCAAGUCGAACGGUGAAGGCGGAGCUUGCUCUGCUGGAUCAGUGGCGAACGGGUGAGUAACACGUGAGCAAUCUGCCCCUGACUCUGGGAUAAGCGCUGGAAACGGCGUCUAAUACUGGAUACGAGCUGCGAAGGCAUCUUCAGCAGCUGGAAAGAACUUCGGUCAGGGAUGAGCUCGCGGCCUAUCAGCUUGUAGGUGAGGUAACGGCUCACCAAGGCGUCGACGGGUAGCCGGCCUGAGAGGGUGACCGGCCACACUGGGACUGAGACACGGCCCAGACUCCUACGGGAGGCAGCAGUGGGGAAUAUUGCACAAUGGGCGAAAGCCUGAUGCAGCAACGCCGCGUGAGGGACGACGGCCUUCGGGUUGUAAACCUCUUUUAGCAGGGAAGAAGCGAAAGUGACGGUACCUGCAGAAAAAGCGCCGGCUCCCUACGUC